CGUGAGUAACCUGCCUUGGAGUGGGGAAUAACACAUCGAAAGAUGUGCUAAUACCGCAUAAUGCAGUUGGGCCGCAUGGCUCUGACUGCCAAAGAUUUAUCGCUCUGAGAUGGACUCGCGUCUGAUUAGCUGGUUGGCGGGGUAACGGCCCACCAAGGCGACGAUCGGUAGCCGGCCUGAGAGGGUGGACGGCCACAUUGGGACUGAGACACGGCCCAAACUCCUACGGGAGGCAGCAG
Molecule: ribosomal RNA, 239 nt
Filed under: uncultured bacterium
Lineage: Bacteria
Description: partial 16S ribosomal RNA
Rfam family: Bacterial small subunit ribosomal RNA
Source: RNAcentral